RNAcentral lists this ribosomal RNA (407 nucleotides) under uncultured Rothia sp. Its description in RNAcentral is "bacterial SSU rRNA". It matches the Rfam family "Bacterial small subunit ribosomal RNA", at positions 353 to 772 of the family's 1533-position model. Lineage: Bacteria; Bacillati; Actinomycetota; Actinomycetes; Micrococcales; Micrococcaceae. The record is from RNAcentral.
AGUGGGGAAUAUUGCACAAUGGGCGCAAGCCUGAUGCAGCGACGCCGCGUGAGGGAUGACGGCCUUCGGGUUGUAAACCUCUGUUAGCAUCGAAGAAGCGAAAGUGACGGUAGGUGCAGAGAAAGCGCCGGCUAACUACGUGCCAGCAGCCGCGGUAAUACGUAGGGCGCGAGCGUUGUCCGGAAUUAUUGGGCGUAAAGAGCUUGUAGGCGGUUGGUCGCGUCUGCUGUGAAAGGCUGGGGCUUAACCCUGGUUUUGCAGUGGGUACGGGCUAACUAGAGUGCAGUAGGGGAGACUGGAAUUCCUGGUGUAGCGGUGGAAUGCGCAGAUAUCAGGAGGAACACCGAUGGCGAAGGCAGGUCUCUGGGCUGUAACUGACGCUGAGAAGCGAAAGCAUGGGGAGCGAA